UUACUAGGGCGGAGAGCGAGGAUAAGUAGAGGUGGGUCUGGCCAGUGGCUGGACGGGUGACCACACUCAACGUUUGUCUUCAGUAAGAACAUGUACAGUCAGCUUAACAGGCUUCCUGUCCCCAACAAUGUGAUGUGAGAUUUAACACCUAUAGUCUUUGCAGACGACGAGUCAGUAACGUGGCUGAAGAUAUGAUGACGAAACCACACAUGACUUGAUAAUGGUCCAGGACGGACCGAAACGUCGUCGUUUCUCCAUCUGAUGUGUGGUUUGGUCAUCAUACCUGUAGUCUUUCUUCAUUGUAGCGCAUAUCUGUGGUGAAGAGAGUACAGGAGGUGUAAAGAGUUCUGGGCGAUGAUUAUCCAAGAGUGAGAUGAACUGAUCCAAUACAUGGCUAAAAACAGCUUCUUCUAGUCCAGUGCGUGUGAACUCGGCAACAACCGCACGAAGAACAAACUGCUCCAUGAAACUGCAACUUCUGCAGUAAAUAUUGUAGAUUAUAUUACCAUUUGGUAACAAUAAACAGUAUUAUCAACAUAAAAUAGUUUCAC
Procambarus clarkii (red swamp crayfish) is the source of this 551-nucleotide long non-coding RNA. RefSeq lists it as uncharacterized. The record is from RefSeq and is a predicted model, not a curated record. NCBI's taxonomy places the organism in Eukaryota, Metazoa, Arthropoda, Malacostraca, Decapoda, Cambaridae.